Molecule: long non-coding RNA, 483 nt
Filed under: Pan troglodytes (chimpanzee)
Lineage: Eukaryota; Metazoa; Chordata; Mammalia; Primates; Hominidae
Description: long non-coding RNA NONPTRT003522
Source: RNAcentral
GAGUGGUACUCAGCAGAACAACAACUAUAUCGUAUAAGCUGCAUCAGAGACAAAUGAAGAUGAAAAAACUAUCCUCCUAUAUCACUAAUCUGUGCUGUGCCCCAACAAGGCCUGCUUUAAAUUUCCAUGCCAAUUACAACCCCCAUUCUGUAUCAGGCAAGGCCAGUCACAUAAUACAUAUCCAAGUCAGAGAAUGCUGAUAUAAACCUUGCCCACCUCUCUCAGCCCGUCUUUCUUACUCAGACAAUUUCUGAGCAGCUCUUUGAUGAACACACAAUCUUCAGUUUCCAGGACAAACUGAGCCACAGCCUUCCCUCCUGGCAGAUGGCUCCUCACCAUCUGACUUUUGACACUGUCCAGGACAACUCCCCUGAUGUCUUUAGGCUUUCCUGGCAUACCAAAGAUGAUAAACAGACCCAGGCAAUCCUCUCCUAUUAAGUUACAGAAUUCUUCCAGCUUAUCAAAUCUACUUUUCUUCCAGGA